UACGGAGGGUGCAAGCGUUAUCCGGAUUUACUGGGUUUAAAGGGUGCGUAGGCGGAUAGGUAAGUCAGGGGUGAAAUCUUCGAGCUUAACUCGGAAAUUGCCUUUGAUACUAUCUAUCUUGAAUAUUGUGGAGGUAAGCGGAAUAUGUCAUGUAGCGGUGAAAUGCUCAGAUAUGACAUAGAACACCUAUUGCGAAGGCAGCUUACUACGCAUAUAUUGACGCUGAGGCACGAAAGCGUGGGGAUCAAACAGG
RNAcentral lists this ribosomal RNA (253 nucleotides) under uncultured bacterium. Its description in RNAcentral is "partial 16S ribosomal RNA". It matches the Rfam family "Bacterial small subunit ribosomal RNA", at positions 524 to 776 of the family's 1533-position model. The record is from RNAcentral.